Molecule: ribosomal RNA, 497 nt
Filed under: uncultured bacterium
Lineage: Bacteria
Description: partial 16S ribosomal RNA
Rfam family: Bacterial small subunit ribosomal RNA
Source: RNAcentral
GAUGAACGCUGGCGGCGUGCCUAAUACAUGCAAGUCGAGCGAACGGACGAGAAGCUUGCUUCUCUGAUGUUAGCGGCGGACGGGUGAGUAACACGUGGAUAACCUACCUAUAUGACUGGGAUAACUUCGGGAAACCGGAGCUUAUACCGGCUUAUAUUUUGAACCGCAUGGUUCAAAAGUUAAAGACGGUCUUGCUGUCACUUAUCGAUGGAUCCGCGCUGCAUUAGCUAGUUGGUCAGGUAACGGCUUACCAAGGCAACGAUGCAUAGCCGACCUGAGAGGGUGAUCGGCCACACUGGAACUGAGACACGGUCCAGACUCCUACGGGAGGCAGCAGUAGGGAAUCUUCCGCAAUGGGCGAAAGCCUGACGGAGCAACGCCGCGUGAGUGAUGAAGGUCUUCGGAUCGUAAAACUCUGUUAUUAGGGAAGAACAUAUGUGUAAGUAACUGUGCACAUCUUGACGGUACCUAAUCAGAAAGCCACGGCUAACUACGUG